RNAcentral lists this ribosomal RNA (484 nucleotides) under uncultured bacterium. RNAcentral's name for it is "partial 16S ribosomal RNA". It matches the Rfam family "Bacterial small subunit ribosomal RNA", at positions 30 to 507 of the family's 1533-position model. The record is from RNAcentral.
AUUGAACGCUGGCGGCAGGCCCAACACAUGCACGUCGAGCGGAUGAAGGGAGCUUGCUCCUGGAUUCAGCGGCGGACGGGUGAGUAAUGCCUAGGAAUCUGCCUGGUAGUGGGGGAUAACGUCCGGAAACGGGCGCUAAUACCGCAUACGUCCUGAGGGAGAAAGUGGGGGAUCUUCGGACCUCACGCUAUCAGAUGAGCCUAGGUCGGAUUAGCUAGUUGGUGGGGUAAAGGCCUACCAAGGCGACGAUCCGUAACUGGUCUGAGAGGAUGAUCAGUCACACUGGAACUGAGACACGGUCCAGACUCCUACGGGAGGCAGCAGUGGGGAAUAUUGGACAAUGGGCGAAAGCCUGAUCCAGCCAUGCCGCGUGUGUGAAGAAGGUCUUCGGAUUGUAAAGCACUUUAAGUUGGGAGGAAGGGCAGUAAGUUAAUACCUUGCUGUUUUGACGUUACCAACAGAAUAAGCACCGGCUAACUUCGUG